AGAGUUUGAUCCUGGCUCAGAGUGAACGCUGGCGGCGUGGAUUAGGCAUGCAAGUCGUGCGAUCUUAUCAUUGACGAGUGAAGCCCGCAAGGGUGGAUCAAGAAGAUGGUUUGAAAGCGGCAAACGGGUGAGUAACACGUGAGCAACUUUCCUUUGGGAUAGGCAUAGCUUCGUGAAAACGGGGGUAAUUCCUAAUAGUACCAUACUGUCGCAUGAUGGUUUGGUUAAAGGCAGGGACCGUAAGGCCUGCCGCCUAGAGAUGGGCUCGCGUCCUAUCAGCUUGUUGGUAGGGUAACGGCCUACCAAGGCUAUUGACGGGUAGCUGGUCUGAGAGGAUGGUCAGCCACACUGGGACUGAGACACUGCCCAGACUCCUACGGGAGGCUGCAGUCGAGAAUAUUUAGCAAUGGGCGAAAGCCUGACUAUGCGACGCCGCGUGAAGGAUGAAGGCCUUCGGGUUGUAAACUUCUUUUGUCAGGAAAGAACAUUCUGGCGUGAAUAACGACGGAACUGACGGUACCUGACGAAUAAGCCACGGCCAACUCCGUGCCAGCAGCCGCGGUAAUACGGAGGUGGCAAGCGUUACUCGGAAUCAUUGGGUGUAAAGGGCAAGUAGGCGGCAUGAUAAGUGAGGGGUGAAAUCUUCCGACCCAAUCGGAAAAUUGCCUUUCAAACUAUCUUGCUUGAGGCAGGAAGGGGGAAAUGGAAUUCUCAGUGUAAGGGUGAAAUCUGUAGAUAUUGAGAAGAACACCAGCGGCGAAAGCGAUUUCCUGGUCCUGUCCUGACGCUAAAUUGCGAAAGCUAGGGGAGCAAACAGAAUUAGAUACUCUGGUAGUCCUAGCCGUAAACGAUGAGCACUAGGUGUUGGGCCUUCUGGGCUCAGUGCCGCAGCUAACGCACUAAGUGCUCCACCUGGGGACUACGGUCGCAAGGCUAAAACUCAAAGGAAUUGACGGGGACCCGCACAAGCGGUGGAACAUGUGGUUCAAUUCGAUGAUACGCGAAAAACCUCACCAGGGCUUGACAUGUAGGUAGUAGUGAACUGAAAGGGGAACGAGCCGUCAAGUCCGGACACCUACACAGGUGCUGCAUGGCUGUCGUCAGCUCGUGUCGUGAGAUGUUGGGUUAAGUCCCGCAACGAGCGCAACCAUUUCCCCAUGUUGCUAAGGUAUCUGAGUCUUCGGAUUUGGAUAUCAGCACUCUUGGGGGACUGCCCGGGAUAACCGGGAGGAAGGUGGAGAUGACGUCAAGUCAGUACGGCCUUUAUGCCCUGGGCUACACACGUGUUACAAUGGCCGAUACAAAGGGUUGCCAACCCGUAAGGGGGAGCUAAUCUCUAAAAAUUGGCCCCAGUUCAGAUUGGAGUCUGCAAUUCGACUUCAUGAAGCCGGAAUCGCUAGUAAUGGGAGAUCAGCACGCUCCCGUGAAUACGUUCCCGGGUCUUGUACACACCGCCCGUCAAGCGAUGGGAACCAGGGGUACCCGAAGUCCUAUGUAGAUAGGCCGAAGGUAAAUCUGGUGACUGGCGCUAAGUCGUAACAAGGUAAC
This 1548-nucleotide ribosomal RNA is filed under the name uncultured bacterium. RNAcentral's name for it is "bacterial SSU rRNA". It matches the Rfam family "Bacterial small subunit ribosomal RNA". The record is from RNAcentral.